AAGAUCUUAGUUUAAGUAAAAAAUUUUUAAAUUGCUCUUAAAGGAUAAGUAUUUAGAUCUUA
Molecule: transfer RNA, 62 nt
Filed under: Microcosmus sulcatus
Lineage: Eukaryota; Metazoa; Chordata; Ascidiacea; Stolidobranchia; Pyuridae
Description: transfer RNA-Ala
Source: RNAcentral